GAUGAACGCUGGCGGCGUGCCUAAUACAUGCAAGUCGAGCGAACAGACGAGGAGCUUGCUCCUCUGACGUUAGCGGCGGACGGGUGAGUAACACGUGGAUAACCUACCUAUAAGACUGGGAUAACUUCGGGAAACCGGAGCUAAUACCGGAUAAUUUAUUGAACCGCAUGGUUCAAUAGUGAAAGACGGUUUUGCUGUCACUUAUAGAUGGAUCCGCGCCGCAUUAGCUAGUUGGUAAGGUAACGGCUUACCAAGGCGACGAUGCGUAGCCGACCUGAGAGGGUGAUCGGCCACACUGGAACUGAGACACGGUCCAGACUCCUACGGGAGGCAGCAGUAGGGAAUCUUCCGCAAUGGGCGAAAGCCUGACGGAGCAACGCCGCGUGAGUGAUGAAGGUCUUCGGAUCGUAAAACUCUGUUAUUAGGGAAGAACAAAUGUGUAAGUAACUAUGCACGUCUUGACGGUACCUAAUCAGAAAGCCACGGCUAACUACGUG
Molecule: ribosomal RNA, 497 nt
Filed under: uncultured bacterium
Lineage: Bacteria
Description: partial 16S ribosomal RNA
Rfam family: Bacterial small subunit ribosomal RNA
Source: RNAcentral